UAUCGGAUUGAUACUAAGCCAUGCGAGUCAUUGUAGCAAUACAAGGCAGACGGCUCAGUAACGCGUAGUCAAUCUACCCUAUGGACGGGAAUAACCUCGGGAAACUGAGAAUAAUGCCCGAUAGAACAUUAUGCCUGGAAUGGUUUAUGUUUCAAAUGAUUUAUCGCCAUAGGAUGGGACUGCGGCCUAUCAGUUUGUUGGUGAGGUAAUGGCCCACCAAGACUAUUACAGGUACGGGCUCUGAGAGGAGUAGCCCGGAGAUGGGUACUGAGACACGGACCCAGGCCCUAUGGGGCGCAGCAGGCGAGAAAACUUUGCAAUGUGCGAAAGCACGACAAGGUUAAUCCGAGUGGUUUCUGCUAAAGAAACCUUUUGUCAGUCCUAGAAACACUAACGAAUAAGGGGUGGGCAAGUUCUGGUGUCAGCCGCCGCGGUAAAACCAGCACCUCAAGUGGUCAGGAUGAUUAUUGGGCCUAAAGCAUCCGUAGCUCGUUUUGUAAGUUUUCGGUUAAAUCCAUGCGCUUAACGUAUGGGCUGCCGGGAAUACUGCAUAACUAGGAAGUGGGAGAGGUAGACGGUACUCGGUAGGAAGGGGUAAAAUCCUUUGAUCUAUUGAUGACCACCUGUGGCGAAGGCGGUCUACCAGAACACGUUCGACGGUGAGGGAUGAAAGCUGGGGGAGCAAACCGGAUUAGAUACCCGGGUAGUCCCAGCUGUAAACUAUGCAAACUCAGUGAUGCAUUGGCUUAUGGCCAAUGCAGUGCUGCAGGGAAGCCGUUAAGUUUGCCGCCUGGGAAGUACGUACGCAAGUAUGAAACUUAAAGGAAUUGGCGGGGGAGCACCACAAGGGGUGAAGCCUGCGGUUCAAUUGGAUCAACGCCGG
Molecule: ribosomal RNA, 883 nt
Filed under: uncultured archaeon
Lineage: Archaea
Description: bacterial SSU rRNA
Rfam family: Archaeal small subunit ribosomal RNA
Source: RNAcentral